GACGAACGCUGGCGGCGUGCUUAACACAUGCAAGUCGAACGGAAAGGCCCUGCUUUUGUGGGGUGCUCGAGUGGCGAACGGGUGAGUAACACGUGAGUAACCUGCCCUUGACUUUGGGAUAACUUCAGGAAACUGGGGCUAAUACCGGAUAGGAGCUCCUGCUGCAUGGUGGGGGUUGGAAAGUUUCGGCGGUUGGGGAUGGACUCGCGGCUUAUCAGCUUGUUGGUGGGGUAGUGGCUUACCAAGGCUUUGACGGGUAGCCGGCCUGAGAGGGUGACCGGCCACAUUGGGACUGAGAUACGGCCCAGACUCCGACGGGAGGCAGCAGUGGGGAAUAUUGCACAAUGGGCGGAAGCCUGAUGCAGCAACGCCGCGUGCGGGAUGACGGCCUUCGGGUUGUAAACCGCUUUCGCCUGUGACGAAGCGUGAGGGACGGUAAUGGGUAAAGAAGCACCGGCUAACUACGU
RNAcentral lists this ribosomal RNA (467 nucleotides) under uncultured bacterium. RNAcentral's name for it is "partial 16S ribosomal RNA". It matches the Rfam family "Bacterial small subunit ribosomal RNA", at positions 28 to 506 of the family's 1533-position model. The record is from RNAcentral.